CUUACAUUCCCCUCUUUGAGCAAUAAAACAAUUGCUCAUCUUAUCGAUAAAAUCUUACCAGGACAGAGAAACUUCCACAUGGUAUUUUCAGGGGUGCUAGUCACUCCCUGCGGGACUUUCAUUAAUUUCUUCACCUCGAUUCCCAUGUGGUAAUUCCUAAGGCCCAGUUUAAAGAUGGGUUGAUACCCUCCAGUGGCAGAGAGGAGAAUUUCUAAUUGUUUCUGUUCUGCAUUAUGGAUUAAUUUCUGUACUCUCUUUCUCAAUGUACAAGUAAGAUGGCAGUUAUACAAAAUCAUACACAAUAAAAUCAGGACUAUAAUAAAAAAAUGAUAGAAGAAUGAUUUCAUUAUCUGGGAUCCAGUAGGGGACCAACCAGUAAAGCAUUGUACCAAUGAUGGGCUAAAUCAUUCUGAAUUUGUGAACUCACCUUAAGGAGUUCUCCUUUUAGGAUAUGUGUGGCUACCUGUGUGUGUUAUCUUUGGGAAAAAUAUAGUCCCCUGUGUAUGUGGGUGCCCACCAGGUUAAAUUCUUGGCAAAAAGAUCAUAAACUGGUACUGGUAAUGUGUUAAAUUGACAAGCAAAUUUAACAUCCUUUGAUGUUGUAUGAUAUAAUGUAAAAUAGCAUGAGCAUGAAAAAUGUGAAACAUUACCAGUUAACCAUCCAUUGCAUUUACUGGAUUGGGGUUUUAGAAGUAACCAUUCAUUAUCUGUGAGGUUACACAUUCCUCUAAUCUUCUCUAGUUUAGGAAUCGUUAGUGUGUUUUCUAAUGCCAAUCCUUGUUGUUGUAUCCAUAAAUACCUGAUGGCACAAGUACUCCAGUUACGAGAUCUGUGGUGAAUUUCAUAGUUGCAACAGUUAAAUUAUCUAAAUAAUUAUACAUUGAUUUAUCUAAAUCCAAUCCUAUAACCUGUGAUUUAACAACAAUUGGAGCCCAAUUUGCAGUAGCAUGAAAACCAGUCCCUAUAUGCAUGCUGGCUGUGUUUAACUUAUUCUUGAGGGUCUCCAUAUCUAUAACUAUUUAGUAUACUCAUAGUGGUUCCAGCACCUCCUAACAGUGUGUCAUACCAUUCCCUUUUCUGCCUUUGUUUGCUGUGUUACAUAAUGUUACAACAGGAGUAGUGAUUUUUAAUGACACAUGUACAGCUUGUAAGAAGGCAGUUGUAUUAAUAAAUGUGGACGGAAUAGGUGUGUGUGUGUGUGUCGUUGUUGACUUUUGGUUCUAUGGUAGAGGAUAAAGGACAGUAAUAAGGUGUAAAAAUAUAAGGUAGUGUAUAGUUCUCAAUUGUAGUGUCGUUCAUAAUGACUAAC
This is a non-coding RNA of Pelobates cultripes (western spadefoot toad), 1309 nucleotides long. Lineage: Eukaryota; Metazoa; Chordata; Amphibia; Anura; Pelobatidae. The record is from the annotation of a GenBank genome assembly.